UUAAGACGGUGCGAGCAGAUGGGGUAGGAUCUAGGGUGUAGUCGGUAAUCUGAGUUACGUGGUGUAAUGCGGGAGCAGGGGGUUAUAUAAGACAGGUGGGAAAGCCCCGGGCUUAACCUGGGAACUGCAUGUGAGACUGGUGGUGCUAGAAUAUGUGAGAGGGAAGUAGAAUUCCAGGUGUAGCGGUGAAAUGCGUAGAGAUCUGGAGGAAUACCGAUGGCGAAGGCAGCUUCCUGGCAUAAUAUUGACACUGAGAUUCGAAAGCGUGGGUAGCAAACAGGAUUAGAUACCCUUGUAGUC
Molecule: ribosomal RNA, 300 nt
Filed under: uncultured Desulfurococcus sp.
Lineage: Archaea; Thermoproteati; Thermoproteota; Thermoprotei; Desulfurococcales; Desulfurococcaceae
Description: bacterial SSU rRNA
Rfam family: Bacterial small subunit ribosomal RNA
Source: RNAcentral